GGUGUGGUGUUGGUUCUCCGCGGGCAGCAUCGCGACUUGAGGAUUGAACUAAUAUAAAGUGUGUUGAUCUUGACUGUGCGGAGGCGUCACGGUCACUUAAAGCGGCUUUGGGGCUGAAUGUGCGUCUGACUUUAGCCGCUAGCGCCGGGGGACGAAGUGAGGAGGGACAAAGUGAACUACACUUCUAUAUUAUGUUAUUUUGAUUGAAAAUAAGUAACUUAUAGUCAAACAUUUAGGAUGCAUAUUUCAAAAAGAAAAUGCAGUAAAGAAGGGUGCACAUAUUGACUGAUUUAUAUAACACUAUUAGGCACGUUAAAAGGAAUCCUGCAUCAUUUAUUUGUUUCUGUUUUUAUUGGGUGCUUAUUCUUUUUUAAACAGAAUUCCCUUUCAUGUUUGUACAAACAAAACCUUUAGUGAAGAUAGUGGGCCUAUAAGAUGUAUAAUUGUAUAUAAUUCUCAUUUAAAAUGUGUUUUUUGAAAAUGUGUGGUUUUAAAUUUUGAUGGGGAAGGUCUUGAAAAGUUUUACACAAGUUGAUGAUAAUGCAGUUUAAAUGUAAGCUUCUAUACACACUUCGUUCUUUGACUUGUGAACAUGAAGUUAAGUCCUGUAUAAAAAACAAAUGUAAAGGGAAAUACAAUCAUGAAAUACUUUUCUGUUUCAGAAGGACAGAGCUCUAUCGCAGACAAGGAAGGCACUCUACGUACUUCAGCAGGAAAAGCGGUAAAAGACGAGCUGAAGCUGUGGAAACUGUUGGGGACUGAUUGUCAGCAUGAGCUGGCAGAGUUCUACUGAAGCACCACAGUUAAGAGCGAGGGGUCACUGAAGCUACAGAAUUGGCCUGUAUAUCGGCUGCAGGUCGGUCGGCAGCUGUGAUCUGAGCUGAAACAUUAAGCAUCAAGCCUGAUGUCAUCUCUCAACUCAAGCCCAGACUCUACUCAAGACCCUCACCUGCUCUGGUUGGGCCGGUAGGAGGCUCUUGUAGCCGCCUUUUACUCUUUUGAACUCUGUCUGUAGUGUUCCACUGCUCAUGGUCACUCAUGCUGCACUUGUCCCUCUCACACUCCCAACGACCUCAGAGUCCCUGGACAAUUAAGCCACUGGGUUGUGUUCUGCCUCACACACUCGGACAGUUGAUCUUACUGCACCUUCAUGUGGACUAUCACAUUUGCAUUGUCAAUCAUUAUUGAAUGUGCAUUUUUCUGAACUUAGAUUUUAAAUAUUAACCUUGAAGAGCCAUGGACUUUAUUAUUGUUUGUAGUAUUUGUUUGUCACUGGCGACUCAAUACAUGGUACCAGAAAAAUCAAAA
Long non-coding RNA from Boleophthalmus pectinirostris (great blue-spotted mudskipper), 1308 nucleotides. RefSeq lists it as uncharacterized. The record is from RefSeq and is a predicted model, not a curated record. The transcript has 4 exons. NCBI's taxonomy places the organism in Eukaryota, Metazoa, Chordata, Actinopteri, Gobiiformes, Gobiidae.